RNAcentral lists this long non-coding RNA (1275 nucleotides) under Homo sapiens (human). RNAcentral's name for it is "HSALNT0365147". Lineage: Eukaryota; Metazoa; Chordata; Mammalia; Primates; Hominidae. The record is from RNAcentral.
GGUCCCCUUAUUUCUUUCUCUAUACUUUGUCUCUGUGUCUUUUUCUUUUCCAAGUCUCUCGUUCCACCUUACGAGAAACACCCACAGGUGUGGAGGGGCAACCCACCCCUUCAAGCCUCUGCUCCUCCACCCUAUAAUUCUUUUAUCACCUCCCCUCCACACACCCGUCCGGCUUACAGUUUCAUUCCGUGACUAGCCCUCCCCCACCUGCCCAGCAAUUUACUCUUAAAAAGGUGGCUGGAGCUAAAGGCAUAGUCAAGGUUAAUGCUCCUUUUUCUUUAUCCCAAAUCAGAUAGCGUUUAGGCUCUUUUUCAUCAAAUAUAAAAAACCCAGCCCAGUUCAUGGCUCGUUCGGCAGCAACCCUGAGAUGCUUUACAGCCCUAGACCUAAAAGGUCAAAAGGCUGUAUUAUUCUCAAUAUACAUUUUAUUACUCAAUCUGCUCCCGACAUUAAAUAAAACUCCAAAAAUUAAAUUCCAGCCCUCAAACCCCACAACAGGAUUUAAUUAACCUCACCUUCAAGGUGUACAAUAAUAGAAAAAAGUCGCAAUUCCUUGCCUUUACUGUGAGACAAACCCCAGCCACAUCUCCAGCCCACAAGAACUUCCAAACGCCUAAACCGCAGUGGCCAGGCGUUCCUCCAGAACCUCCUCCCCCAGGAACUUGCUACAAGUGCCAGAAAUCUGACCACCAGGCCGAGGAAUGCCUGCAGCCCAGGAUUCCUCCUAAGCCGUGUCCCAUCUGCGCGGGACCCCACUGGAAAUCGGACUGUUCAACUCACCUGGCAGCCACUCCCAGAACCCCUGGAAUUCUGGCCCAAGGCUCUCUGACUGACUCCUUCUCGGCUUAGCAGCUGAAGACUGAUGCUGCCUGAUCGCCUUGGAAGCCCCGUAGACCAUCGCGGAUGCCGAGCUUUAAGUAAUCUCACAGUGGAGGAAGACAGGAAUGUCAGCCCUCUGGGCCCAAGCUAAGCCAUCAUAUCCCCUGUGACCUGCACGUACACAUCCAGAUGGCUGGUUGCUGCCUUAACUGAUGACAAUCCACCACAAAAGAAGUGAAAAUGGCCCGUUCCUGCCUUAACUGAUGACAUUGUCUUGUGAAAUUCCUUCUCCUGGCUCAUCCUGGCUCAAAAGCUCCCCCACUGAGCACCUUGUGACCCCCACUCCUGCCUGCCAGAGAACAACCCCCUUUGACUGUAAUUUUCCUUUAUCUACCCAAAUCUUAUAAAAUGGCCCCACCCCUAUCUCUCUUCACUGACUCUCUUUUUGGACUCAGC